GUGCUAUUGCUUAGGCAGCACAUAUACUAAAAUUGGAAUGAUACAGAGAAGAUUAGCAUGACUC
This 64-nucleotide small nuclear RNA is filed under the name Sorex araneus (European shrew). Lineage: Eukaryota; Metazoa; Chordata; Mammalia; Eulipotyphla; Soricidae. The record is from RNAcentral.